Molecule: unclassified non-coding RNA, 191 nt
Filed under: Cortinarius fratellus
Lineage: Eukaryota; Fungi; Basidiomycota; Agaricomycetes; Agaricales; Cortinariaceae
Description: partial internal transcribed spacer 2
Source: RNAcentral
AUAUUAUAUAUCAAACCCUCUUUUGUUGAGUGGUUUGGAUGUGGGGUUGCUGGCCUCUUGAAGGGGUCAGCUUCCCUGAAAUGCAUUAGCAGAACAGCCUGUUCGUUCCAUUGGUGUGAUAACUAUCUACGCUAUUGAAUGAUGAAGGCAAGUUCAGCUUUCUAACCGUCUUUGGACAAUUUAUCAUCUAU